UAAUGAUGAUGAGGAUAACUUCUGAGCAUGCCCUUGAAUCUCUCCCAAGCUUGGUAGAGAUUUUAUCCAUCUUUCUGUUUGAAACUCUAUAUCACACUCCUAAAUCA
Molecule: non-coding RNA, 107 nt
Organism: Capsicum annuum
Lineage: Eukaryota; Viridiplantae; Streptophyta; Magnoliopsida; Solanales; Solanaceae
Source: Rfam